Long non-coding RNA from Haliotis rubra (blacklip abalone), 354 nucleotides. RefSeq lists it as uncharacterized. The record is from RefSeq and is a predicted model, not a curated record. NCBI's taxonomy places the organism in Eukaryota, Metazoa, Mollusca, Gastropoda, Lepetellida, Haliotidae. The transcript is spliced from 3 exons.
CAUAUAUCUCAAGUUUUGAAUCAUCUAUGCCCAUUUGGAUCGGUUUAAAUGAUCUACAACAAGAAGGUUUUUACGCUGGACGGACGGGUCUGCACCUGAUUUCUCUAACUGGGAAUCAGGUCAGCCUGACAACUUAGCUGGAGAGCACUGCAUUGGGCCCAACUUUGGGGUUUUCGGCGCUUGGAAUGACUUUCCAUGUCACUAUGUGCACCCGUAUAUUUGUGUGAAGAAAGGUAGCGAGAUUUGUGAUCUAUUAUUAUUGUUGAUGCAUGCAUUACUUCUGCAUUCAUCAGUAACUUUACGUGUUCCGUAAUAAUUACUGUUGACAAGAACAGGACCGAGAACAGAUGAAGA